UGACACCAAAGUUAUGUUACAAAAGAGAGGCAAAAGAUACCACAAGAAUAUUCAAACUCAUAAGUUGAAAACAAACUGACAAUGCCACGGCAAAACACAAAAAACAUUCAAAAGACAAACAACAUUACACAAAACACAUCGUAGAAAACUAAAGACUGAGCAGCACGAACCCCGCCAAAAACCAGGGUGAUUUCAGGUGCUCCAGAAGGGUAAGCAGAUCCUACUCCACAUGUGGCAUCUGUCAUGCACUGGCAUUGUGAUCUUUCAGUGCACAAAACACAUGAUCAAUUAUAGUACAGAUUUCAUGUACUUAUAGCUUAACAAAAAAAUUGGAUGGCAUGACAAUUGUUAUUAAACCACUGGAAUUUUAUUGAAGAAAUAUACAAAAUACAUGAAAUGUUUUAGUUACAAUAAUUAUAUACAAUAUGUAUUUAUAGACAUCUUAUUUCACUAAAUUGAAUUUUUCAUUGUAGUUGUGACAUUAAGGACGAAAGAAAAUUGUAUGACCUACAUUCUGGUCCACAAUGUCCUACAGAUUGAAUGGUUUGCGGACAUGCUGUUAAACUGUACUGUAGAAGUGGAUACUAUCAAAACAUUAUCAGCAUAUGAAUACUUGUGUAUACAGCCUAAAACUUUGUAUUUUCCAAAAUGUAUUGCUAAGGUUACAGUUUAUGAGAAGUUCACCUCAAAUCCACCAGUCAUGACACGUAAUUGUGUGAACAAUUUGGACCCUACAUUUUGUACCCCAGGAAACAACCCAUUUCUAAUCAAGUUUGAAGCUCAGCAGAAAUCUGGUGCCCAUGUUGUGUUCAGAAUAGAAGGCAAAAAUGGACAAUAUAGUACAGACGAUGAUGAUAACAAUGAUGAUGAACACAGUGCUGAUGCCUUAGUGACACAAAUUGUCUUAGCUGUAGGUUCUAUAACUACAUUCCUGGCCAUCGUCAUUUGUAUAUUUGUCUCCUGCCGACAUUCCAGAUACCGUAAUUGUGAUUCAGUGUCUGAGAGGUCAUCUCCAAGAACUGUACAAACAGAGAUGGCAGAAGGGGAGGUAACUCGUCAAGGUUCUAUGCCAGAACUGGACAGUUUGAUUGGAAAUACAAAUAAACAAAUAGAUUCAUUAAUGAGCCAACCAGAUCAGAGAGAUACACCUCCACCGUCCUAUUGGGAUGUAUUGGUAGAUGAUGCUGUUGUUAAGUGAUGAUGAUUCAAUUAGUCCCUAUUGAAUGAUAAAGUGAUGAUUUAUAUGUGAGAAUCUGUUUGUGUAUGAACUACCUUGUCUAACAAGAGACAUGACAAUAAGUAUAUGUGCUGAACACUGGUUUACAUCGAUCAUAUCAAUGUUUUUUGUGUAGGAUUUCAUUCAUUUUUCAUAAAAUCUUACAAUUCAAAUUAGUCAUAAGUUCAUUCUUAAUAUGGAUAUUAAGUAUAAGCUGUUUACAUUAAUAACUGUUCUAUGAAUGAGCUGUACUAAAAUGACUUCUCUUUAUACUAUUGUCUCAUUUAUUUUGUAAAAUGCAAAGUUGAAUGUGAGUAAAUACCUCAAAUUAUGUUAUUUGUUUUUGUUUAUGUGUAGUUAUGUCAAUCUUCAUCAGAACAAAACGCAUUUCAACCAAUGACUGCAACAUUCUACUAACGUUUACUAGUUGAAACAGCAAAAAGGAGCCUUUAACAAAAGUUAAAAGUUGGUGCGGGUGGCAAAUGUAUCUUUUUUUUUUGCCUCAACUUGUAAAAUCUAUUGAAAGAACAAAAAAUGUGCUUAAAAAAAUCAGGACAGUUCUGAUGAAAUAGUUAAAAUUUCCUUCAGAACCAUUUCAAUAGGAUAGAAAUAAAACAUAUUUGGUAAUGAUGCCAGAGCUUAAAAAGACUUUUUAUAUUUAUGCACUAUUUCAUACUUUGUACAACAAAGUAAAUACUGUGGAUUCAUUUAUUUUCGUGGGUACCACUUUUCGUUGAUUGAGGAAAAGUUGCAUUUUCGUGGAUAUUUAAUUUCGUUGUUUUGGCAAAGUCUGCGUACAUUCCUUUAGAAAAUUUGUAAUUCGUUGAACAUUUAAAUUUGUGGUUCCCCUGUACCCACGAAAUCCACGAAAAUUGGUAUCCAACGAAUAUUAAUGAAUUCACAGUAUUAUAUCUACAGUUGUCUAUUUUUAAAGUCCAUAUAUUGUCUUCUAGAUGUUUUGUCUAGUUUUUAUACGACCGCAAAAAAAUUUUUGUGGUCGUAUAUUGGUAUGACGUUGGCAUCGUCGUCGUCGUCUGGCGUCGUCGUCCGAAGACACAUUAGUUUUCGCACUCUAACUUUAGUUUAAGUGAAUGGAUCUCAAUGAAAUUUUACCAUAAGGUUCAAUACCACAAAAGGAAGGUGGGGAUUGAUUUUGGGGGUUAUGGUACUAACAGUUAAGGAAUUAGGGGCCAAAAGGGGCCAAAAAUAAGCAUUUUUGUAACUUCCAGACAUAACUUGUGUGUAAGUGUAUGGAUCUUUCUGACAUUGUACCACAAGGUUCCAUAUUACAAAGGGAAUGCUGGGAUUGAUUUUGGGGGUAAUUGCCUCCAAAUUUUAGGAAUUAGGGGCCAAAAAGGGGCAAAAAACAAGCAUUUUUCUAGUUUCAUGACAAUAACUUGUUUGUAAGUGUAUGGAUCUUUAUGAAAUUGUACUACAAGGUUCCAUAUCACAAAGGGAAUACUGGGAUUGAUUUUUGGGGUAAUUUCCUCCAAAUUUUAGGAAUUAGGGGCCAAAAAGGGGCAAAAAACAAGCAUUUUUCUAGUUUCAUGACAAUAACUUGUUUGUAAGUGUAUGGAUCUUUAUGAAAUUGUACUACAAGGUUCCAUAUCACAAAGGGAAAGCUGGAAUUGAGUUUGGGGGUAAUUGCCCUAAACGUUUAGGAAUUUGGGGCCAAAAAACAAGCAUUUUUCUAGUUUCCAGACAAUAACUUGUGUUCAAGUGUAUGAAUCUCUCUGAAAUUGUACUGCAAGGUACCAUACCACAAAGGGAAAGCUGGGAUUGAGUUUGGGGGUGAUGAAUCAUAAGGGGGUUCAAAAAAUUGGGGGGGGGGGAUUUUUUUUUUCCUUUUUUUUCUUUAACAUUUUCCAUUUUAAAUUGGUUAUUUCUGAUUUAUAUAUAAAAGCAAAUAAUAAUGAUAUGGUUUGAAUAGGCAUACAUGUGAACCUCCCGACGGGAGUACAAUAAUCCCGUUUUCAGGGGUCUCCUCCCGACCUCCCGUUGAAGAGGAAAAAAUCCCGUGUAUGAAAUUUUUCAUGAAUGAAAAAUUUCUGCCCAACAUAUCAUCUCAGGCAUCAGGUGUAACUGACAUUACCUGAAGUUAUAUUUUACCUGUAAAUCAAUUAACAUGCAUAAUUAUAUGGCUUCACUUGUCAGCUUGGGUGUCAAACAUACUGGUAAUCAACGAUUUUUACCUCAGGCUAACUGCCGUUGUGUAACAAAAACUGUGUAUUUAUUGGGUUACUUCCCUUGAUUUAUCCUGUUUUAAGUUACUUUCCUUUUGAUAAUGAAAAUUUUUAAAAGAAUAUAAAUAAAAUAUAAAUUGAACAAAUAAUCAUAAAAGGAUGGUUAUUACAUGAUUUUAAAUGUCUUAGGACAAAUAAAAAAAUAAUAAUUUGAAAAUUAUUUGAGGAUUCUAUACUUCCUUUCAAGGCUUAAAUUGAAAUUUAUAUAAUAACUAUGACCCUAAUUUUACAGAUAGAAUGAUUUUCUGAGUUUGCAAAUAAAAACUCUUUGCAAGAGAAAAAAAAAAAAAAUAAAAACUAUUUGCAGAUAGCUAAACAAAUGUUCUGGUUGCAAUGAUUGUUUUAUAGAAUAUGAAGUAAAAAAUUUAAAGAACAUACUGGAAAAAAACAAUGUUAGAUUGAACAUGUAGAAUAUAAAGAUGGAGAAACUUUAUAAGUACAAGGGUACUAUAAACAUAAUAAAUUGGAUGGAAAGUUGAAGAAAACACACUUUAAAAGACCAUUUUUACAGCACACAGUUACAUUUACAACAAAAUUAAUGUCGAUUAAAAACCUCCUGAUCUGAGUCCUAAUCUCCUGACCAAAAUUUCCCAAUCUCCUGAUCUGAGUUUCACAGUCCAUCACAUGUAUGAAUAGGUAAAUUGAAAAUUUUUAAGUUCUUAGAUCACUUUCAUUCUGUGUCAGAAACCUAUGCUGUGUCAAAUAUUUAAUUACAAUCCAAAUUCAGUGCUGUAUCAAGCUUGAAUGUUGUGUCCAUACUUGCCCCAACUGUUCAGGGUUCGACCUCUGCGGUCGUAUCAAGCUGCGCCCCAGCGGAGCAUUUUAUUUUAUAUUCUAGUGAUGUUAUACACCUCUGUAUAGUUAUUUGUCUAGUUUUAUGCAUAUUUUUUACAAAUGAGAUUGUUUUUAGAUAUUUGGAUUUCUAAAAUUAAAAAUGUACAAUUUGUAUUUAUCUACUCGUUGGUUCAGUUAAUGAAUGGUGUUUGUUGUUUUAAUUAUAUGCUUGUAUAAUUUGCAAAUUUGUACUUUUAGAUUUUUUUAAAAAUGCUUUAUGAUUUUUUUGCAUGGGAACAGGCAUGCACAGUAUGAAAAACAAAUCUAUCAAAUAUAUAAUUAUAAGUUACCACGGACAGCGCAGGAUGUAAUUUCUAUGAAGACAGAAGCGAUGUUUGCUGCAGUUUAGAAUAGAUAAAUUAAAUAAAUGGUUCUUAAAUUCUAAAAUAUACUACUCAAAAAACGUUUUGCAACACUUCCAUUGAGAUUGAUGGGUGUCAAACAUUGAGGGCCCAUUUUGUUGUUGAAAAUGAUCUGAAAUUAAUAGCAUCCUUGUUUUAAGGAUAUUGAAUAGAUUAAAGAAGAACAGUGAAAAAAAAUAUGAAAAAAAUUUGGGGGGUUAAAAAAGUCCACCCCCUAUUUUUUUUUAAUAUUUUUUUUUGCAAGGGUAUUGUUAGUUUCUUAAAAUUGUGACUUUUAAUUUUGACCCCUCACCUUAAAGUAUGUGAACAGUGUAGCUGUCUAAAAUUUAUACUGCCAUAACUGUAGUACUUAUGAACAGUCAGGGGCAUUACUUAAAUAAGUAACUUUUUUUAGUUACUUGUAUAGGUAAUUUUUGUUUUUAAAAAUAUAAAAUUACUCAAUAGAGUUAUUUUCAAUUUUAAUAGAAGCAUUGACUAGAUGUAGUUUACAUGAAUUUUUACAUCAUUUUAUAUAAAGAAAUUAAGAAUUUUUUAGAUUUGAGAGGAGUAUAGACAUAAAGGGUUACUUUAAAAAUAAUGACAAAAAUGUUACUUGAAUAAGUUAUUGUAUACAUCUUUGAAAGAAUUAGUAAUACCACUUAUUUAAGGAACAUAUGUAAUUGUUUUGGGUUACAAAUUAUAAAUAACUUUAAGUCUUAAUUAAUUCACAAGUUUCUAUCUAUUUAUAUCUGUCUACCUUCAAGAUUUUCAAGGAAAACUAGAUAUCAAAGAUAAGUGCGUCAGAAAGGCAAUUAGUGUUUCAGAAGGAUUAGAUUUUAUAUUUUAUGGAAACAUAACCAGAUGACUGUAAAAAUUUGUUAAAACUAAUAAAAUUAACCUGUAUAAUUGGACACCUAAAAAAUAAUAUUUAGAAAAGUUACUUAUAUAAGUAAUUUUUAAAAUAGCCUCGUUUUCAACAUUACUUGUAUAGGUAAUUUUAAAAGUUAUUUGUUUAAGUAAUCCCCCUGACUGAUGAAUACAUAUAGAUUAAAAGAUUUAUACAGAUUUUAUUUUAUUUUACUUUUAGUUUAAAGUUUUUUGAGGAGUAUAUUCAAUUUGUUGAAAUUUUAAAUUGGUUGAACUUUUUGAAAUUUAUACAUCUCUUUCUUAAUUCAUAACCUACAAUUUGCGAAAAGAUAAGUAUCAUUAUGAUAAAUUUUAAUUGACAACUGUGUAAAAUACAGGAUUCAAGGGGGGUAGUGGGCAUGAGCUCCGUCUUUGAGUGAAAAAUAUUUUUUAGCAUAAAAUCGUUCAAAAACAUUUUGUAAAAAAAAUUAUAUUUAAACCGUUUUCUUGAAUUACACCCCUUCAAAAUGAUCCCCUGGCAAAAUCCCCUGGAUCUGCCACUGAUUUAGCAAGUAUCUCAAAAAGAUAAUAACAGUUAUUAUUGAUUAAGUGCAAUAAAAAAGUGAUAGGUUUAAUGAAUUGUCAAUCACAGUAUAGUAACUGUUAACAGACUAUAUUGUAACAGUAAAGGCCUCUCUGAUAUUACACAUAAGCUCAUUUAUGUUUGUGAAUAAAGAAUAGUUUCAUGCUAUGACUGCUUGGUCCUAAUUAUACUUUCAUGAAAGCAUUAGUGACUAAAAUACUUUGUUAAAAUACUCAAUACAUUUAAAUUUACCAUGAAUCUUAAUUUUGAACUUGUCUUAGAUAAUUGAGAGCUUAUGUUUUUAGUAAAAUUUCUGUUUUUUUAAUAUUCAAUAUCAAAUUUUGUUCUAACUUGUUUUCUUUGUUUGUUUAAUUGAUCUCAUAAGUUGUCGGAAAGUUCCAAUUUAGUAAUAAUUUAUGAGUGUUACUUGUUAUUGAUGUUUAUUUAUUGUACAAUUUUGUUGUUAUUUACACACGUUUUUAAUUUUUUUUUUAUUUUAAUAAUUUAAGACUUAUUUUUUUUCAAAUUACUUUGAGUAUUUGAAUAUUGAUUAAUAUAUUAAUAAUACUUAGAAAUUAAUGUUAUCUCAGUACAUAAAACUUCCUCACACUUAUGUCACCAUAGCAGUGUGUGGAUUUCUUUUAGAAAAAAUACUUCGUCUAAUACCUUUGUUAUAAAAUAUCAUCUGUGAUGAAUAUGAUGUGUGAAGCUUGUCCAGAAGCUAUGCUAAAUAUUUAAUGUCAGCUCAUAUCAGAAAGAGUACUUAUGUUAUAGCAUUGAUAUAUGGUAUCAAUUCAAAGUAAAACUAACCAUAUUAAGAUGACUUUAAACACUUUUUUAUGAGUAUUUGUUUUCAAGUUUUAAUUUGAAUGUAACUCUGAACAAUAUUUGAAUGUCCAUGUGUUUUCUUAAUUUCAAGAAUUUGUAAUGAUUCAUGUCCAAACUGAACAUAGUUUGUAAUAUGUAAUGCUCAAUUAAACACAUUGGAUAUACGCUUGUAAAAUCUGUACUAACUGCAGAAUGUACUAAAGUAACGGAUAAUAUCAUGCUAUGACUUCUUGGUCCUAAUUAUACUUCCAUGAUAUCAAUAAGGACUAAAAUACUCAGUUCAUUUAGAUUUACCAUGCAUCUGAAUUUUGAACUGGUCUUUAAUAGAUAAUUGAGAACCUAAGUUUUUGCUGGUCAUAAACUGUAUUUAUAAAUAUUUUCCCAGUUAAAUUUCUGUAUCUUUAAUGUUCAAUAUCAAAUUUUGUUCUAGCUUGAUUUCUAUGGUGUUUUUUAAUUGAUCUCUUAGUUGUCAGAAAGUUCAAUUGUAGUCAUUAUUUACAAGUGUGUUCAUUGUUAUUGAUGUUUAUUUAUACCACAAUUUUGUUGUUAUUUACAAGUGUUUUUAUUUUUUUAUUUUAUAAUUUAAGACUUACAUUUUACCAAGUAACUUUGAGUAUAUGAAUAUUAAUUAAUGUAUUAAAAAUACAUAGACAUUAA
RNA transcript from Mytilus californianus (California mussel), 7548 nucleotides. RefSeq lists it as uncharacterized. The transcript is spliced from 5 exons. The record is from RefSeq and is a predicted model, not a curated record. Lineage: Eukaryota; Metazoa; Mollusca; Bivalvia; Mytilida; Mytilidae.